This 29-nucleotide non-coding RNA is filed under the name Mus musculus (house mouse). The record is from RNAcentral. Lineage: Eukaryota; Metazoa; Chordata; Mammalia; Rodentia; Muridae.
UAGGCAAACAUUUCUAGUGGUAAUAUUGG